AGGAUUCUUCAUUGUUGCAGUUUUACCAGUGUUUACCACAGUGACGAGAUAUGAUUGGGAUCUUACAUGUGGGGAACGGAUGGGCUGUUCACCUGCGGUCAGGAGAUCAGUGUGGUUAACUCUCAUGAUGCUGAUCAAUGCUGUUUUGGUCUAUUUCUACAUCACAGCUCUGGAAAAUGAAAAGGAUCGUGUCGGAUGGACCUGUGUGAUUGUGUUUCUCCAGUCUCUCUGGGCACUGGUCAACUUCACACGGUCAUUUCAGUCAUUCGGUACAGUAUAAAUCAUCUGCUCUGAUCAUCUUCUCACUGUCAUGAUUUCACUAUCAGCUCUUGUUUAUAUUCUCUUCACUCCUCUGAACAGAAAUCAAGUCUCUACACUGGAAAAAAAUAUGAUCAUGUUUGUAACAGUAAAGGACUGUAAUAAUGCUACAGUAAAAAAACACUUAACAGUAAUUUCCUUUGAUAUAUACAGUGUCUUUUU
Molecule: long non-coding RNA, 480 nt
Organism: Cyprinus carpio (common carp)
Lineage: Eukaryota; Metazoa; Chordata; Actinopteri; Cypriniformes; Cyprinidae
Exons: 3
Source: RefSeq, a predicted model, not a curated record